This 100-nucleotide ribosomal RNA is filed under the name Nitrospiraceae bacterium. RNAcentral's name for it is "partial 23S ribosomal RNA". It matches the Rfam family "Bacterial large subunit ribosomal RNA", at positions 2826 to 2925 of the family's 2925-position model. Lineage: Bacteria; Pseudomonadati; Nitrospirota; Nitrospiria; Nitrospirales; Nitrospiraceae. The record is from RNAcentral.
CCUGAAGGUCCCUGGUAGACUACCAGGUCGAUAGGCUGGAGGUAUAAGCACAGUAAUGUGUUCAGCCGACCAGUACUAAUAGACCGUGAGGCUUGACCCU